ACGAACGCUGGCGGCGCGCCUAACACAUGCAAGUCGAACGGUGAAGAGGAGCUUGCUCCUCGGAUCAGUGGCGGACGGGUGAGUAACACGUGAGCAACCUGGCUCUAAGAGGGGGACAACAGUUGGAAACGACUGCUAAUACCGCAUAACGUAUCGGGAUGGCAUCUUCCUGAUACCAAAGAUUUUAUCGCUUAGAGAUGGGCUCGCGUCUGAUUAGAUAGUUGGCGGGGUAACGGCCCACCAAGUCGACGAUCAGUAGCCGGACUGAGAGGUUGAACGGCCACAUUGGGACUGAGACACGGCCCAGACUCCUACGGGAGGCAGCAGUGGGGGAUAUUGGACAAUGGGGGCAACCCUGAUCCAGCGACGCCGCGUGAGGGAAGAAGGUUUUCGGAUUGUAAACCUCUGUUGACGGAGAAAAAAAUGAUGGUAUCCGUUUAGAAAGCCACGGCUAACUACGUG
Molecule: ribosomal RNA, 462 nt
Filed under: uncultured bacterium
Lineage: Bacteria
Description: bacterial SSU rRNA
Rfam family: Bacterial small subunit ribosomal RNA
Source: RNAcentral